RNAcentral lists this ribosomal RNA (497 nucleotides) under uncultured bacterium. RNAcentral describes it as "partial 16S ribosomal RNA". It matches the Rfam family "Bacterial small subunit ribosomal RNA", at positions 28 to 507 of the family's 1533-position model. The record is from RNAcentral.
GAUGAACGCUGGCGGCGUGCCUAAUACAUGCAAGUCGAGCGAACGGACGAGAAGCUUGCUUCUCUGAUGUUAGCGGCGGACGGGUGAGUAACACGUGGAUAACCUACCUAUAAGACUGGGAUAACUUCGGGAAACCGGAGCUAAUACCGGAUGAUAUUUUGAACCGCAUGGUUCAAAAGUGAAAGACGGUCUUGCUGUCACUUAUAGAUGGAUCCGCACUGCAUUAGCUAGUUGGUAAGGUAACGGCUUACCAAGGCAACGAUGCAUAGCCGACCUGAGAGGGUGAUCGGCCACACUGGAACUGAGACACGGUCCAGACUCCUACGGGAGGCAGCAGUAGGGAAUCUUCCGCAAUGGGCGAAAGCCUGACGGAGCAACGCCGCGUGAGUGAUGAAGGUCUUCGGAUCGUAAAACUCUGUUAUUAGGGAAGAACGUAUGUGUAAGUAACUGUGCACAUCUUGACGGUACCUAAUCAGAAAGCCACGGCUAACUACGUG